UGAUUUUACAGAUACCUAAAUCAGGUUGAA
Molecule: non-coding RNA, 30 nt
Filed under: Mus musculus (house mouse)
Lineage: Eukaryota; Metazoa; Chordata; Mammalia; Rodentia; Muridae
Source: RNAcentral